GUACAUUAUGAACCACCAACUCGUGGUCGUCCUCCAAAACGACGCUUUGAAGAGUAUUUUCAACAUGAAAGGGUUUCUUCCGAAAUAGGAAAUGCUGCAACAACUCCAACAUCCCGACAAGCCCUACCUGCUCCUUACAAUUAUCGAAACGUCGUACCCACAAAUCCAAAUCCCCCAUCUGCUCCUAGGCAAUUUGCAAACUCUGUCUAUGACCUAGAAUUUGAGAGGAGAGGUCAUCCCAUUGACCCCCAUCUUAGAUUGUUUAAACGACCACCAGAGAACUAGUUUGGCUGGAGUUUUCAGAAUAUAUCAGACCAUAACUUUCCUCAGGAGCAGUUUGAUUGGAAGAUUUCAAUUUGUAUCUUUAAAAACUCAAUAGUUUCAGACAAUUCUCAUAAACAAAGACUAGUUUUGACAAUAUUAUUUGCACAAAUAAAAUUUGACAUAACAUAUAAGAAUAAGGGUUAUGUUAUGUGUGCAAGUAAUACUAUCUGGGCCCUUCUUGCUGAUGUUGGGUUCGGUCUACCAAGGUAGU
This is a long non-coding RNA of Vigna unguiculata (cowpea), 535 nucleotides long. Lineage: Eukaryota; Viridiplantae; Streptophyta; Magnoliopsida; Fabales; Fabaceae. The record is from RefSeq and is a predicted model, not a curated record.